CCCUUGGAGCAUUAUAUCAAACAAGAGUAGUUAGUUGGCUUAGUUUAACGACAAAAUUGGGUGCGAUGAACAGGGAA
Molecule: non-coding RNA, 77 nt
Filed under: unclassified sequences
Description: RAGATH-18 RNA
Rfam family: RAGATH-18 RNA
About the family: Actinobacteria, Firmicutes, Fusobacteria, Thermotogae (1 example). Nearby to self-cleaving ribozyme genes
Source: Rfam by way of RNAcentral